ACGAACGCUGGCGGCGUGCUUAACACAUGCAAGUCGAACGGUGAAGCGCCUUCCUUUUUGGUGGGUGUGGAUGAGUGGCGAACGGGUGAGUAACACGUGAGUAACCUGCCCCCUUCUUCUGGAUAACCGCAUGAAAGUGUGGCUAAUACGGGAUAUUCUGGGUCUGUCGCAUGAUGGGUCUGGGAAAGAUAUUGUUUCGGUGGGGGAUGGGCUCGCGGCCUAUCAGCUUGUUGGUGGGGUGAUGGCCUACCAAGGCGGUGACGGGUAGCCGGCCUGAGAGGGUGGACGGUCACACUGGGAAUGAGACACGGCCCAGACUCCUACGGGAGGCAGCAGUGGGGAAUAUUGCACAAUGGGCGCAAGCCUGAUGCAGCGACGCCGCGUGAGGGAUGGAGGCCUUCGGGUUGUGAACCUCUUUCGCCAGUGAAGCAGGCCUGCCUCGUUUGUGGGUGGGUUGACGGUAGCUGGAUAAGAAGCGCCGGCUAACUACGUG
This 493-nucleotide ribosomal RNA is filed under the name uncultured bacterium. RNAcentral describes it as "partial 16S ribosomal RNA". It matches the Rfam family "Bacterial small subunit ribosomal RNA", at positions 29 to 507 of the family's 1533-position model. The record is from RNAcentral.